AACGUAGGACACAAGCGUUAUCCGGAGUUACUGGGCGUAAAGCGCGUUAAGGCGGUCGGCAAAGUUGGUUGUGAAAUCUCAGGGCUCAACCCUGAAAUUGCGACCAAUACUGGUCGACUAGAGUGUGAGAGAGGAAGGUGGAAUUCCCGGUGUAGUAGUGAAAUGCGUAGAUAUCGGGAGGAACACCAGUGGCGAAGGCGGCCUUCUGGCUCAUAACUGACGUUGUAGCGCGAAAGCGUGGGGAGCGAACCGG
RNAcentral lists this ribosomal RNA (253 nucleotides) under uncultured bacterium. Its description in RNAcentral is "partial 16S ribosomal RNA". It matches the Rfam family "Bacterial small subunit ribosomal RNA", at positions 524 to 776 of the family's 1533-position model. The record is from RNAcentral.